CCUACGGGAGACAGCAGUGAGGAAUAUUUGUCAAUGGACGCAAGUCUGAACCAGCCAUGCCGCGUGCAGGAAGACGGCUCUAUGAGUUGUCAACUGCUUUUGUACGAGGGUAAACGCAGAUACGCGUAUCUGUCUGAAAGUAUCGUACGAAUAAGGAUCGGCUAACUCCGUGCCAGCAGCCGCGGUCAUACGGAGGAUUCAAGCGUUAUCCGGAUUUAUUGGGUUGAAAGGGUGCGUAGGCGGUCGGAUAAGUUAGAGGUGAAAUCCCGAGGCUCAACUUCGGAAUUGCCUCUGAUACUGUUCGGCUAGAGAGUAGUUGCGGUAGGCGGAAUGUAUGGUGUAGCGGUGAAAUGCUUAGAGAGCAUACAGAACACCGAUUGCGAAGGCAGCUUACCAAGCUACUUCUGACGUUGAGGCACGAAAGCGUGGGGAGCAAACAGGAUUAGAUACCCGUGUAGUC
RNAcentral lists this ribosomal RNA (460 nucleotides) under uncultured bacterium. RNAcentral's name for it is "partial 16S ribosomal RNA". It matches the Rfam family "Bacterial small subunit ribosomal RNA", at positions 338 to 795 of the family's 1533-position model. The record is from RNAcentral.